AUUGAACGCUGGCGGCAUGCCUUACACAUGCAAGUCGAACGGUAACAGGUUAAGCUGACGAGUGGCGAACGGGUGAGUAAUGUAUCGGAACGUGCCCAGUCGUGGGGGAUAACUGCUCGAAAGAGCAGCUAAUACCGCAUACGACCUGAGGGUGAAAGCGGGGGAUCGCAAGACCUCGCGCGAUUGGAGCGGCCGAUAUCAGAUUAGGUAGUUGGUGAGGUAAAGGCUCACCAAGCCGACGAUCUGUAGCUGGUCUGAGAGGACGACCAGCCACACUGGGACUGAAACACGGCCCAGACUCCUACGGGAGGCAGCAGUGGGGAAUUUUGGACAAUGGGCGCAAGCCUGAUCCAGCCAUGCCGCGUGCGGGAAGAAGGCCUUCGGGUUGUAAACCGCUUUUGUCAGGGAAGAAAAGGUUCUGGCUAAUACCUGGGACUCAUGACGGUACCUGAAGAAUAAGCACCGGCUAACUACGUG
This 477-nucleotide ribosomal RNA is filed under the name uncultured bacterium. RNAcentral describes it as "partial 16S ribosomal RNA". It matches the Rfam family "Bacterial small subunit ribosomal RNA", at positions 30 to 507 of the family's 1533-position model. The record is from RNAcentral.